RNAcentral lists this ribosomal RNA (253 nucleotides) under uncultured bacterium. RNAcentral describes it as "partial 16S ribosomal RNA". It matches the Rfam family "Bacterial small subunit ribosomal RNA", at positions 524 to 776 of the family's 1533-position model. The record is from RNAcentral.
UACGUAGGGGGCAGGCGUUGUCCGGAAUCAUUGGGCGUAAAGCGCGCGUAGGCGGCCCGGUAAGUCCGCUGUGAAAGUCAAAGGCUCAACCUUUGAAUGUCAGCGGAUACUGCCGGGCUAGAGUCCGGAAGAGGCGAGUGGAACUCCUGGUGUAGCGGUGGAAUGCGCAGAUAUCAGGAAGAACACCAACGGCGAAGGCAGCUCGCUGGGACGGAACUGACGCUAAGGCGCGAAAGCGUGGGGAGCGAACAGG